This 970-nucleotide ribosomal RNA is filed under the name Gammaproteobacteria bacterium. RNAcentral describes it as "partial 23S ribosomal RNA". It matches the Rfam family "Bacterial large subunit ribosomal RNA", at positions 1982 to 2925 of the family's 2925-position model. The record is from RNAcentral. Lineage: Bacteria; Pseudomonadati; Pseudomonadota; Gammaproteobacteria.
UCCGACCUGCACGAAUGGCGUAACGCUGGCCCCACUGUCUCGACCCGAGACUCAGUGAAGUUGAAAUCGCUGUGAAGAUGCGGCGUAGCUGCGGAAAGACGGAAAGACCCCGUGAACCUUUACUACAGCUUUACACUGAACUUUGACCUUGUCUGUGUAGGAUAGGUGGGAGCCUUUGAAGCAGGGGCGCUAGCUCUUGUGGAGGCAACGUUGAAAUACCACCCUGAUAAUGUCGGAGUUCUAACCUUGGUCCGUUAUCCGGACCGGGGACACUGUAUGGUGGGUAGUUUGACUGGGGCGGUCUCCUCCUAAAGAGUAACGGAGGAGUGCAAAGGUACCCUCAGCGCGGUCGGUCAUCGCGCUCAAGAGUGCAAUGGCAUAAGGGUGCUUGACUGCGAGACUGACAAGUCGAGCAGGUGCGAAAGCAGGUCAUAGUGAUCCGGUGGUUCUGUAUGGAAGGGCCAUCGCUCAACGGAUAAAAGGUACUCCGGGGAUAACAGGCUUAUUCCUCCCAAGAGUCCACAUCGACGGAGGAGUUUGGCACCUCGAUGUCGGCUCAUCACAUCCUGGGGCUGUAGCAGGUCCCAAGGGUUCGGCUGUUCGCCGAUUAAAGUGGUACGCGAGCUGGGUUCAAAACGUCGUGAGACAGUUUGGUCCCUAUCUUCCGUAGCCGUUGGAGAUUUGAGGGUGAGCUGUCCUUAGUACGAGAGGACCGGGAUGGACGCACCUCUGGUGUUCCGGUUGUCACGCCAGUGGCACUGCCGGGUAGCUAUGUGCGGACGGGAUAACCGCUGAAAGCAUCUAAGCGGGAAGCCCCCCCCAAGAUUAGAUCUCCCUGGGAGCUCGACUCCCCUGAAGGGCCCACGAAGACUACGUGGUUGAUAGGCUGGGUGUGUACGGCCAGUAAUGGCUUCAGCUAACCAGUACUAAUUGCCCGUGAGGCUUGACCAUAUAACCUCAAGUGGUUUGG